CCGAAGUUCUCUCCACUGAGCAUCUGCCCCUUCAUCCUGCAGGAGCAGGCGCAGUGAUUCAUACCCACUCUAAAGCUGCUGUGAUGGCUACCCUUCUGUUUCCAGGACAGGAGUUUAAAAUUACACAUCAAGAGAUGAUCAAAGGAAUAAGGAAAUGUACCUCUGGAGGGUAUUACAGGUAUACUUUCUUAUUAAAUUAUUUGGCAUGUGUUUCUCCUUCUCUUUGAUAAGUCAGACCAUGAUCCUCUUAUGCUUCUAAUGAGGUGCAGUGGGAUCUGUGUUCAGUAAUACCCCACUGAGCACUUUAUGUCCACACGCAUUUUCAGUGACAGACUCCUCCUCCCUUCCCCACCCUUGGAGAAUUAUUAGCAACAUGAAUUGUGGAGCGUUUGCUCUAUUAAUGUGAACAAAAGUCUGGUCUGAAAUGUCUGUCAAAACGGGUGGGGCAGCCUGUUUCAGCUCCGAAAAAGAAAGCAAGAUCUCCUCACCUCCACUUUAUCUUCAGGAAGCUUGAACUGGGACCACCAUUAGAGUUCAUAUUGACUUAAUGUAGUUCUGGAAUAUGCUCCUAGUCAUU
RNAcentral lists this long non-coding RNA (577 nucleotides) under Rattus norvegicus (Norway rat). RNAcentral describes it as "long non-coding RNA NONRATT018404". Lineage: Eukaryota; Metazoa; Chordata; Mammalia; Rodentia; Muridae. The record is from RNAcentral.